AUGGACAUGAGUUUGAGAAAGCUCCUGGAGUUGGUGAUGGACAAGGAGCCUGGCAUACUGCAGCCCAUGGGGUCGCAACGAGUUGGACACGACUGAGCAACUGAACUUCUCACUACUUCUGUUGUCACAUUGUCAUCAUCUCCUGCUUGUUUCAAGGGUUGAGGGUUCAAGCAGUCACAUGUUCUAGUGAGCCGACGGUGUGCUGAAGGGGCAGCAGCAGUUCCCUCAAGAUUGUUGUGAAGAUUAAUUACAUAAAGCACGUAGUCCAUGCCCGAAAGGAACACAAUGACUUGGUAGCGCUGGAUUACAUUCUGAAUGACUGCUGCAACCAUCAUGUACUGUUCUGCAUUGGGGUCCUGUUGGCACCAGUGGUGAAAAGCCUGCCUGCCAAUGCAGGUAGGCAUAAGAGAUGCAGGUUUGAUCCUCCUCCCUGGAGGAGGGCAUGGCAACCCCCUCCGGUAUUCUUGCUUGGAGAAUCCCAUGGACAGAAGAACCUGG
This is a long non-coding RNA of Cervus elaphus (red deer), 498 nucleotides long. RefSeq lists it as uncharacterized. The record is from RefSeq and is a predicted model, not a curated record. The transcript has 3 exons. NCBI's taxonomy places the organism in Eukaryota, Metazoa, Chordata, Mammalia, Artiodactyla, Cervidae.